GCGGAGGGAUCAUUAAAGAGUUCUAUAACUCCCAAACCCAUGUGAACAUACCAAACGUUGCCUCGGCAGGUCGCACCUACCUUGUAGCACCCUAUCCUGUAGGGCCUACCCGGGACGUGCGGGUAAGCCUGCCGGCGGCCCAUUAAACUCUGUUUGAUAUUGAAUUCUGAACCUAUAACUAAAUAAGUUAAAACUUUCAACAACGGAUCUCUUGGUUCUGGCAUCGAUGAAGAACGCAGCGAAAUGCGAUAAGUAAUGUGAAUUGCAGAAUUCAGUGAAUCAUCGAAUCUUUGAACGCAUAUUGCGCCCAUUAGUAUUCUAGUGGGCAGGACCGUUCGAGCGUCAUUUCGACCCUUAAGCCUUAGUUGCUUAGUGUUGGGAGCCUACGGCGACGUAGCUCCUCAAAGUUAGUGGCGGAGUUGGUUCACACUCUAGACGUAGUAAUUUUUUAUCUCGCCUAUUAGUUGGACCGAUCCCCUGCCGUAAAACCCCCAACUUCUCAAGGUUGACCUCGAAUCGGUUCAGACAAACUCGCUAAAUUGAAGCAUCUUAGUCAGCGAAGGAAAAGAAACCAACAGGGAUUGCCCUAGUAACGGCGAGUGAAGCGGCAACAGCUCAAAUUUGAAAUCUGGCCCUCGGGUCCGAGUUGUAAUUUGUAGAGGAUGCUUUUGGCGCGGUGCCUUCCGAGUUCCCUGGAACGGGACGCCUUAGAGGGUGAGAGCCCCGUACGGUUGGACACCAAGCCUCUGUAAAGCUCCUUCGACGAGUCGAGUAGCUUGGGAAUGCUGCUCUAAAUGGGAGGUAAAUUUCUUCUAAAGCUAAAUAUUG
Molecule: ribosomal RNA, 828 nt
Filed under: fungal endophyte
Lineage: Eukaryota; Fungi
Description: eukaryotic LSU rRNA
Rfam family: Eukaryotic large subunit ribosomal RNA (bases 507-828)
Source: RNAcentral